AGGGGAGGGAAGGGGUGGGGGGAGACCAGCUCGAAAAUUGCUGCCAGUUUUGAAAAGCCUACCCCUGGCAACCCCUCUGCUGGCCUGCUUAUGCAUUCACCAGCCAUUUAGACACUUUCGUUCCUCUUUAUUCAAAUACACGAAGGCGAGCUAGGCAGAGGUGAAUCCAGAUGUGCCUGCGCCGCUGUAAAUGAGCCCAGGAAGAGAGAAAAAGACCAUCAGCCUCCCAGCAAAGAACCUAGUGGAAAGGCGCUCAGGGAGCAAGGGAAGAAAAGUCACUGUAGGGACAAGGGCCCGAUCUUGCAGCCUUAACUUAGGCGAUUUCUCCAUGGAAGUGUUGUUGCCUGAGCAAGAAGUGCAGGAUCGGGCCCCAAAUAGCUGACACGCGAAUUGACAUCGAAAUAUGCGUCCCGAAAAUUGAGCCUUGCAACGAAAUCUUUGGUAUGAAAGUCCCCCAGACAGUCUACCCAAGCGCCUUUUUUGCGGCAUACUCCGAAACCAACCGUGACGAUUACAAUAGGGGGAGCAUAUAUUAAUCGCACGUAUUAAUUAUUAGUAGUACUACCCUUCUUAUCGCUGCAGUUGCUGCGUUUGAGCAGAAGCAGGUAUGCCGAUUUCCUAAGCCGUGUGGUGGUGCUUGGGUUUGGGGCUGCCCGGCGGUACCAGGGCUGAGGUAACAGACUCUGGGCUGGACGACCUGUUUACCAGGGAAGCCAGAAAAGGGAUCCAGGGCUGGGGAACUUCACCGUGAAGGACAAAUUGCAAACAAAUUGCAGGGGAACAAAACGUUAUUCACAAGUUGUCAGGCGCGUCGCGAGGACAAGAUCCAAACAACCCAAAAAGUCAGGAGGGCAAACAAGAGCCACGAGGCGUCACCCAGUGGAGAGCGAAAACUCCCCUGGAACAAUGGGCAAAAUACCCGAUCUGAAUCACGUGGCUGGGGAAGUGGGGGGCAGAUCAUGGCAAGGUUUUUACAGUAGUUAAAAAGAGUACGUGGCCGGUGAUUUAUUCCCUAGAUCGUUCUGUUUUUAUGCAGCUUAAAUGGGGGGUUGCGGUUAAGAGGUAACUAUGUCAUUUUCUAACCUUAUUAGCCAGCAUUAAAAAUGUACUGGUCAUGCAGGUUGUAUUUUAAGUAAGCAAGGAAGGAAGAAAGCAAGCAGGAAAGCGAGCAAGGAAGAAACGUAAAGAAAGAAGAACAUUGGGAAAAGUCUGGCCAGAAGGGCUGGAAAGUGACUGCUCGUAUUUCUAACCAAAGACUCCCUGUAGCGGCUAGUCUCUGAACAAUGAUUAGUAUUUUAGCUAGCAGCAGAGGACAUAAUCAU
This 1322-nucleotide long non-coding RNA is filed under the name Gopherus evgoodei (Goodes thornscrub tortoise). RNAcentral describes it as "lncRNA (ENSGEVG00005019967.1)". The record is from RNAcentral. Lineage: Eukaryota; Metazoa; Chordata; Testudines; Testudinidae.